ACAUGCAGUCGAGCGGUAGCACAGAGAGCUUGCUCUCGGGUGACGAGCGGCGGACGGGUGAGUAAUGUCUGGGAAACUGCCUGAUGGAGGGGGAUAACUACUGGAAACGGUAGCUAAUACCGCAUAACGUCGCAAGACCAAAGUGGGGGACCUUCGGGCCUCAUGCCAUCAGAUGUGCCCAGAUGGGAUUAGCUGGUAGGUGGGGUAACGGCUCACCUAGGCGACGAUCCCUAGCUGGUCUGAGAGGAUGACCAGCCACACUGGAACUGAGACACGGUCCAGACUCCUACGGGAGGCAGCAGUGGGGAAUAUUGCACAAUGGGCGCAAGCCUGAUGCAGCCAUGCCGCGUGUGUGAAGAAGGCCUUCGGGUUGUAAAGCACUUUCAGCGGGGAGGAAGGCGGUGAGGUUAAUAACCUCAUCGAUUGACGUUACCCGCAGAAGAAGCACCGGCUAACUCCGUGCCAGCAGCCGCGGUAAUACGGAGGGUGCAAGCGUUAAUCGGAAUUACUGGGCGUAAAGCGCACGCAGGCGGUCUGUCAAGUCGGAUGUGAAAUCCCCGGGCUCAACCUGGGAACUGCAUUCGAAACUGGCAGGCUAGAGUCUUGUAGAGGGGGGUAGAAUUCCAGGUGUAGCGGUGAAAUGCGUAGAGAUCUGGAGGAAUACCGGUGGCGAAGGCGGCCCCCUGGACAAAGACUGACGCUCAGGUGCGAAAGCGUGGGGAGCAAACAGGAUUAGAUACCCUGGUAGUCCACGCUGUAAACGAUGUCGAUUUGGAGGUUGUGCCCUUGAGGCGUGGCUUCCGGAGCUAACGCGUUAAAUCGACCGCCUGGGGAGUACGGCCGCAAGGUUAAAACUCAAAUGAAUUGACGGGGGCCCGCACAAGCGGUGGAGCAUGUGGUUUAAUUCGAUGCAACGCGAAGAACCUUACCUGGUCUUGACAUCCACAGAACUUUCCAGAGAUGGAUUGGUGCCUUCGGGAACUGUGAGACAGGUGCUGCAUGGCUGUCGUCAGCUCGUGUUGUGAAAUGUUGGGUUAAGUCCCGCAACGAGCGCAACCCUUAUCCUUUGUUGCCAGCGGUUAGGCCGGGAACUCAAAGGAGACUGCCAGUGAUAAACUGGAGGAAGGUGGGGAUGACGUCAAGUCAUCAUGGCCCUUACGACCAGGGCUACACACGUGCUACAAUGGCAUAUACAAAGAGAAGCGACCUCGCGAGAGCAAGCGGACCUCAUAAAGUAUGUCGUAGUCCGGAUUGGAGUCUGCAACUCGACUCCAUGAAGUCGGAAUCGCUAGUAAUCGUAGAUCAGAAUGCUACGGUGAAUACGUUCCCGGGCCUUGUACACACCGCCCGUCACACCAUGGGAGUGGGUUGCAAAAGAAGUAGGUAGCUUAACCUUCGGGAGGG
RNAcentral lists this ribosomal RNA (1404 nucleotides) under Klebsiella sp. RNAcentral describes it as "bacterial SSU rRNA". It matches the Rfam family "Bacterial small subunit ribosomal RNA". The record is from RNAcentral. Lineage: Bacteria; Pseudomonadati; Pseudomonadota; Gammaproteobacteria; Enterobacterales; Enterobacteriaceae.